Long non-coding RNA from Callorhinchus milii (elephant shark), 479 nucleotides. RefSeq lists it as uncharacterized. The record is from RefSeq and is a predicted model, not a curated record. The transcript has 3 exons. NCBI's taxonomy places the organism in Eukaryota, Metazoa, Chordata, Chondrichthyes, Chimaeriformes, Callorhinchidae.
CCCCCCCCCCCACUGCCCAUCACCUGGUUGUGUUCAACUUGAAAUAGCAAAAUAAACCCCAACAUUUAUUUAACUCUUACACACUUUCUGGAGAAAAUGUUUUUCUUAUGUGUCACAUUCCUAUGUUGGUAAAACUGUCUAUGUGUCAGUGAUUCAAGAGCUUAAAUAUAAGAUAAUUAUCCAAAAAACAGAGAGUGCGGAGAAUUUUAAGUGAAAGCCACUCUAUAACGCUGUACUGCAGAGAUCAGCUAACAACACAAACCGCAGCCUGAACACAGGACCUUCCUGGGCAAGGCUGAUCAGCUCAGUCUCACACUAGGUAAUACAUUCACCAACUUGAGUCAACCAGGGAACCUCAGUGCUGGACAAGCUAAAAAUAAAACACUCUCUCUCACACCACUAGCCAGGGUUACGAGGGAUUCAGGCGACAGAUGAGAUCUGAAUUAUUGAAACCUAUGGCAGAAAUCAUCUCAGAUCCA